RNAcentral lists this microRNA precursor (52 nucleotides) under Mustela putorius furo (domestic ferret). RNAcentral's name for it is "mir-1302 microRNA precursor family". It matches the Rfam family "mir-1302 microRNA precursor family". RNAcentral also lists the same sequence under 3 other names. The record is from Rfam by way of RNAcentral. Lineage: Eukaryota; Metazoa; Chordata; Mammalia; Carnivora; Mustelidae.
UUUUUUGUAGAAAUAUGUCCCAUAUAAUAUUUGGGAUAUACUUAUACUAAAA